RNAcentral lists this unclassified non-coding RNA (238 nucleotides) under Glomus sp. RNAcentral describes it as "partial contains 5.8S ribosomal RNA and internal transcribed spacer 2". The stretch from base 1 to 71 matches the Rfam family "5.8S ribosomal RNA", at positions 84 to 154 of the family's 154-position model. Lineage: Eukaryota; Fungi; Glomeromycota; Glomeromycetes; Glomerales; Glomeraceae. The record is from RNAcentral.
GUGAAUCAUCAAAUCUUUGAACGCAAAUUGCACUCCCUGGUAUUCCGGAGAGUAUGUCUGUUUGAGAGUCAGUUUAAAUAAAAAUCGGUGUGGUUGCUGCCUUUCGUGGUGACGCACCGGAGGUGGGUCGUCGUGACUGCGGUUAAGUAACCUAAAAUUUUGCAUUAUUCUUUCGAACGUAUUUAAAUGAUAUUGCGUACGUUUGCGUUAUCGAAUACUAGGUUCGGUCAUCCUCUUG